RNAcentral lists this long non-coding RNA (295 nucleotides) under Hordeum vulgare. RNAcentral's name for it is "long non-coding RNA (HVUL_LNC018824)". The record is from RNAcentral. Lineage: Eukaryota; Viridiplantae; Streptophyta; Magnoliopsida; Poales; Poaceae.
GGAGGAAUCAAGGUGUCCGCUAAGGGUUGGGGUAGCUGGCGGCGGCAUGGGUUUUGGGGAGGAGACUAGGGUUUCCUGUUUUGGACGACUAGAUGUCCAUUCAUAGGCAAUGGUGGCUAUGGGAGGGGGGUUUACUUCAUUUUCGGACCGUUUGUUCUCAAUCGGGAGGUCCAAAACGGUGGACAGAUAGAUGGGUUGUGGGUUCUGUUGGAGAGGGGAUGGGACGAGAACAGAUGGAAGCUGGCGGCCCUGCACAAUGUUUAAAAUACCGAAACGUGUGCUAAUUAAAUCGGCU